GCGGUUCCUGUGGUAAAGCGGCGGCAGUUUUAUAGUGUUCCGCGGCAGCUGGAUUAGAAAUAAAUGUUCGUUCACGAUUAGGAAUGAGUACCCCCUCUCUCUUAUUCUCUCGCACGAAAAUUUCACAACCCAGUUUUAGUGUGUAUCGCACGACCCCUUGUUUUAAAAAAAGAAAGCUUCAACACUUCUCUUCUCUUCUCUGCUUGUUCGACCCCUUGUUUUCAAUUUCAGGUGAUGAAAUUUUUAUAUGAAUUGAGACAAAUUUCUAUCAUUUUUCUAUUUUUUGUCUUUGAUUAUGAUGAUUUAGAGUUUUUAGUCCAUUUAGGGUUUUGAAUUUUAUCAAUUGAUGGUUUAGGGUUUUUGCUAGUUAUAGUCAUUCAAUUAGUUUUGAAAUUUCAAUUAGUAUUAUGAAGGGUUUGACGACACAUGCUAUAUUCCUUAUGAAAUAAUUUAUUGCUAGUUUGCUUAUGAAGGGUUUGAUCUGAUAUUGCUAGUUUGCUAUUAGUUUUCUUAACAUUUAAAUAUAUUCUCCUGAAUAUUGUUUUUGAUAUAGUCAUAUAUUUUGUUGGACUGAAAGCAGUAGUAAGUGAAAGUGUGCAGCAACCACUACUCUGCUAUGACAACUUGAUCAGGACAAUUUUUCUAUUUCAAGAAGGUAACUUUAUUUGCUUUCAACUAAUGAGUUUGUUGGUCUGCAUGCUUGGGUUUAACCCCCAACAUGUGUGUUUAUGGAUUGUCUUGUACAUUUUUAGCAUAAGUUGUUUAUCCUUUGGUAUUUGAUUUUGAACAUGAUUUGAAGGUUAACUAUGUUUAUUUAGGAUAUUGUGUUUUCAAGGCUUACUGUCUUUGAUUGGCGUUGAUUACGGCGUUGGGAAAAAUACUCUAUUGUUGUAGGUAUGACUUUAGUUAGAUGAUUUACUUGCUUCAAUUUAAUAUCACUAUUUUGUGGACUUUUUCUAUAUUACCCAAAAAUUAGGAAGUAAUAUCAACAAUAUAUGCUCCUCAGAUCUUAGGAU
Molecule: long non-coding RNA, 1016 nt
Filed under: Trifolium pratense (red clover)
Lineage: Eukaryota; Viridiplantae; Streptophyta; Magnoliopsida; Fabales; Fabaceae
Description: long non-coding RNA (TPRA_LNC003194)
Source: RNAcentral